UGGGGAAUAUUGGACAAUGGACCAAAAGUCUGAUCCAGCAAUUCUGUGUGCACGAUGACGUUUUUCGGAAUGUAAAGUGCUUUCAGUUGGGAAGAAAAAAAAUGACGGUACCAACAGAAGAAGUGACGGCUAAAUACGUGCCAGCAGCCGCGGUAAUACGUAUGUCACAAGCGUUAUCCGGAUUUAUUGGGCGUAAAGCGCGUCUAGGUGGUUAUGUAAGUCUGAUGUGAAAAUGCAGGGCUCAACUCUGUAUUGCGUUGGAAACUGCAUGACUAGAGUACUGGAGAGGUAAGCGGAACUACAAGUGUAGAGGUGAAAUUCGUAGAUAUUUGUAGGAAUGCCGAUGGGGAAGCCAGCUUACUGGACAGAUACUGACGCUAAAGCGCGAAAGCGUGGGUAGCAAACAGGAUUAGAUACCCUGGUAGUCCACGCCGUAACGAUGAUUACUAGGUGUUGGGGGUCGAACCUCAGCGCCCAAGCUAACGCGAUAAGUAAUCCGCCUGGGGAGUACGUACGCAAGUAUG
Molecule: ribosomal RNA, 524 nt
Filed under: uncultured bacterium
Lineage: Bacteria
Description: bacterial SSU rRNA
Rfam family: Bacterial small subunit ribosomal RNA
Source: RNAcentral